CCCGCUGAACUUAAGCAUAUCAAUAAGCGGAGGAAAAGAAACUAACAAGGAUUCCCCUAGUAACGGCGGGUGAAGCGGGAUGAGCUCAAAUUUAAAAUCUGGCGUGCCUCUGGUCGUCCGAGUUGUAGUCUGGAGAAGCGUUUUCCGUGUUGGACCGUGUAUAAGUCUCUUGGAACAGGGCGUCAUAGAGGGUGAGAAUCCCGUCUUUGACACGGACUACCAAUGCUUUGUGAUGCGCUCUCAAAGAGUCGAGUUGUUUGGGAAUGCAGCUCAAAAUGGGUGGUAAAUUCCAUCUAAAGCUAAAUAUUGGCGAGAGACCGAUAGCGAACAAGUACCGUGAGGGAAAGAUGAAAAGAACUUUGGAAAGAGAGUUAAACAGUACGUGAAAUUGCUGAAAGGGAAACGCUUGAAGUCAGUCGCGUCAUCCAGGGAUCAACCUUGCUUCUGCUCGGUGCACUUCUCGGUUGACGGGUCAGCAUCAAUUUUGACCGCCGGAUAAAGGUCGGGGGAAUGUGGCAUCCUUCGGGAUGUGUUAUAGACCUCGAUUCGGAUACGGCGAUUGGGAUUGAGGAACUCGGCGCUUUGCGUCCAGGAUGCUGGCAUAAUGGCUUUAAGCGACCCGUCUUGAAACACGG
RNAcentral lists this ribosomal RNA (635 nucleotides) under uncultured fungus. Its description in RNAcentral is "eukaryotic LSU rRNA". It matches the Rfam family "Eukaryotic large subunit ribosomal RNA", at positions 24 to 664 of the family's 3401-position model. The record is from RNAcentral. Lineage: Eukaryota; Fungi.